RNAcentral lists this long non-coding RNA (209 nucleotides) under Arabidopsis lyrata. RNAcentral's name for it is "long non-coding RNA (ALYR_LNC000997)". The record is from RNAcentral. Lineage: Eukaryota; Viridiplantae; Streptophyta; Magnoliopsida; Brassicales; Brassicaceae.
UUAUUUAGAAGCUGACGGGUUUAGUCACUUGCAAACCAAACUUUGGCGUCCAGGAGAGUUUCUAAUACAACUAGAAGCUUCUAAUAUCACCUCGAGCUUCAUUCUCAGCCAUUGGAUUAAGUGGAUUCCAUCUUGGCCAUUCAUACACCAAGACUUUCCAUAUCUAGACUCAAUUGCCUUCCAUGCACUCCAACAGCUAAAUACAUUUA